RNAcentral lists this ribosomal RNA (369 nucleotides) under uncultured organism. Its description in RNAcentral is "bacterial LSU rRNA". It matches the Rfam family "Bacterial large subunit ribosomal RNA", at positions 2099 to 2465 of the family's 2925-position model. The record is from RNAcentral.
CUUUACUAUAACUUUGCAGUGGCAUUACGAUUGUCAUGUGUAGGAUAGGUGGGAGACUUUGAAGCGGGAGCGCUAGCUUUCGUGGAGUCAACCUUGAAAUACCACCCUUGACCUUCGUAAUGUCUAACCAUGAUCCAUAUAUCUGGAUCUGGGACCCUGCAUGGCGGGUAGUUUGACUGGGGCGGUCGCCUCCCAAAGAGUAACGGAGGCGCGCGAUGGUAAGCUCAGGACGGUCGGAAAUCGUCUUCGAGAGUGCAUUGGCAUAAGCUUGCCUGACUGCGAGACUGACAAGUCGAGCAGAGACGAAAGUCGGUCAAAGUGAUCCGGUGGUACCCUAUGGAAGGGCCAUCGCUCAACGGAUAAAAGGUA